RNAcentral lists this long non-coding RNA (207 nucleotides) under Cavia porcellus (domestic guinea pig). RNAcentral's name for it is "lncRNA (ENSCPOG00000035653.1)". Lineage: Eukaryota; Metazoa; Chordata; Mammalia; Rodentia; Caviidae. The record is from RNAcentral.
CUCUCUCUCUGUCUUUCUGGGUGUGUGUAUUACAAAUGACUAUGACUCUGUGGGAUUCAGUCUGCGUACAUCCUUGUUAUGCUGGGGUUCGUGCAUCUUGAGAACUGCUUUUAAAAUUGUAAAGACAUGGCAGGAGGGCAUACUGGUGAUUUCUUAGGUUCUCUUGUAUGUAUGUCAGAUUUGAUAUUCUUAUUAAUAUCACUAUUU